AGAAUCCCCGCCCCGCGGUGGGGCGCGGGAAAUGUGGCGUACGGAAGACCCACUCCCCGGCGCCGCUCGUGUGGGGCCCAAGUCCUUCUGAUCGAGGCCCGCGACCUCAGAUCAGACGUGGCGACCCGCUGAAUUUAAGCAUAUUUGUCAGCGGAGGAAAAGAAACUAACCAGGAUUCCCUCAGUAAUGGCGAGUGAACAGGGAAGAGCCCAGCGCCGAAUCCCCGCCCCGCGGUGGGGCGCGGGAAAUGUGGCGUACGGAAAAAUACAAAAAUUAGCCAGGUGUGGUGGUGCACGUCUGUAAUCCUAGGUACUUGGGAGGCUGAGGCACAAGAAUUGCUUAAACCCAGGAGAAAGAGGUUGGAGUGAGGAGCUGAGAUCAUGCCACUGUACUCCAGCCUGGGCAACAAAGCAA
RNAcentral lists this long non-coding RNA (414 nucleotides) under Homo sapiens (human). RNAcentral's name for it is "HSALNT0239736". The stretch from base 102 to 414 matches the Rfam family "Eukaryotic large subunit ribosomal RNA", at positions 1 to 211 of the family's 3401-position model. Lineage: Eukaryota; Metazoa; Chordata; Mammalia; Primates; Hominidae. The record is from RNAcentral.